CCAUACUCCUCGUCAUCUACGGCUUUAAUAAUCCUGGAUUUAGGGUGGGCCCUAAAUCCAAUGACUGGUGUCUUCAUAUGGGAAAGGACGGAGACAUGACACCCAGAGACACAGCGGCGGGGCCAUGUAAAGAUGGAGGCAGAGAUUGGAGUAAUGUGGCCACAAGCCAAGAAAUGCCAAGGAUUGCUGAAGCCACCGGAAGCUGGGGGAGGCAGGGGAUGGAGGCUGCUUUCUCAGAGCCUCCAGAAGGAACCAACCCAGCCAAUACCUUCAUUUUGGACUUCAGGCCUCCAGAACUGUGAGAAAACAAACUUCUGUUGUUUGAAGCCACCCAGUUUGUGGUGACUUGCUAUGGCAGCCCUAGGAAUCUAUUUCAUCCUAAGAGAGAGGGAAAGGACAAGAGGAGGAGGAGGGAGGGCAAGGGAAGAAAGCAAAAGUGAAAGCAGGAAGGAAGAGGAGAGAGAAAAUCGAAGCAGAGGCACAGAGAGAGGUGCAGUACCAAGUGCUGUACAGGCAUUGUCUUCGCGGAUGCACCUGCUGCGACCUCACAUUAAAAGGAGAAACGGACGCUGAUCAGGGAGGAAAAGACCCUGCCCGAGGACCCUGGAAGAUGAAUAAAAUGGGGUCAGGAGAAGCAGCCCCCUCUCCAAAGCCAUGCAGCUUCUAAGUCACAACAGCCACCCCAGGCUUCAGGCUCCAAGACCAGCACUCUUGCUCCUGCUCCACAGCCACCAAGGUGCAUCAGUGUUCCAUCACCACUUGGGUGAUUCGCGGGCUGUCUUGCAUGUAUAAUACCUGAGUCCGAAUGCUGCCUCCCCACACUUACUGCUCCCGAAUUCUCCUUACUUUGGCCCUGUCUCUCAUGAGCCAACAGUGUCUGAAAUACCACCGUG
This 893-nucleotide long non-coding RNA is filed under the name Homo sapiens (human). RNAcentral describes it as "long non-coding RNA NONHSAT195897.1". Lineage: Eukaryota; Metazoa; Chordata; Mammalia; Primates; Hominidae. The record is from RNAcentral.